ACUCUCCACAAUGGAUAUCUCGGCUCUCGAAUCAAUGAAGAACAUAGUGAAAUAUGAUACUUGGUGUGAAUUAUAGAAUCUUGUGAAAUAUCAUGUCUUUGAGUUCAAGUUGUGCCCAAAACUAUUAGGCUGAGGGCACAUCUCCGUAGGCAUCACAAAUCGCGCCUCAAUCAUGGCGUGCACUGUUGUUGCGGGGCGGAUACUGCCCUCCCAUGUGCCCCUAGCUUGUGUCUGGCCCGAAUUCAUUUUCACAUCGACACACACUGUAGCAAGUGGUGGUUAUAACUCAAUUCUCUUUGUUGUAGCAGCUACAGCCCAUUGUGCAUCAGAACUCCAAGACCAGCCAUGCUUAGGCGCUCUGACUGUGACCCCAGGUUAGGCGGGAUUACCCGCUGAGUAUAAGAAUAUCAAUAAGCAGAGGAAAAGAAACUUACAAGGAUUCCCUUAGUAAUGGUGAGUGAAUCGAGAAUGGCCCAGCCAUAGAAUUGGGCAGCUUCAUCAUCUGAAUUAUAGUUUGGAGAAGCAUCCUCAGUGGUAGACUGGGCCUAAGUUCCCUAGAAGGGGAUGCCAUAGAGGGUGAGAGCCUCAUUCUGUUCAAACCCUGUCGCACCAUAAGGCACUAGCCACGAGUUGGGUUAUUUAGGAAUGUAGACUAAAUCAGGCGGUGAAUUCCAUCUAAGGCUAAAUACGAGCAAGAGAGUGAUAGCGAAUAAGUACCGCAAGGGAAAGAUGAUUUGAAAAGAGUGUCAAAGAGUGUUUGAAAUUAUUGGGAUAGAAGCGGAUGAUGGAUAGCGAUGCACCCAAGUCAUAUAUUUAACAUUGGCAAGCCAGUCUGCCGAUCGACUCGAGGCGUGGACCAGCAUGAAUUGGGGGCGGCCAAAGCCCAGGAACUCGAUACGCUCGUGGAAUGUUGUCUCCUUAAUUGUGGUAGAAAAUGUGCACCUCUGGCAUGCUUCAGCAUCUACGCGCUCCAACGUUGACCUGUGGGCUCCCCAUUCAACCUGUCUUAAAACAUGGACCAAGAAGUCUGACAUGUGUGCGAGUUAAUGAGCGAGUAAACCCAUAAGGUGUCAGGAAGCUUACUGGUGGGAUCCCCCUAAGAGGUGCACCACCGAUCAACCAUGAUCUUCUAAGGAGGGUUUAAGUGUGAAUAUAUCUCUUGGGACCAGAAAGAUAGUGAACUAUGCCUAAGCGGGGUAAAGCCAGAGGAAACUCUGGUGGAGCCCCACAGCAAUACAUACGUCCAAAUCAUUCAGCUGACUUGGGUAUAGGGGUGAAAGACUAAUUGAACCAUCUAGUAGUUGGUUCCCUCCUAAUUUUCCCUUAGGAUAGAUGGAGCUCGCGUAUGAGUUCUAUCAGAUAAAGCUAAUGAUUAAAGGCCUCAGGGCGCAACACCAUCGACCUAUUCUCUAUCUUUAAAUAGGUAGGAUGACGUGGAUUUUUUAUUGAUUCGUGCCACAGAAUCAAGCGCCCUAAGUGGGCCAUUUAUGGUAAGAAGAACUGGCAAUGCGGGAUGAACUGGCAGCCACGUUAUGGUUCCAAACAGAAUGCUAACCUAGAUUUCACAAAGGGUGUUGGUCAAAUAAAACAGUAGGACGGUGGUCAUGGAAGUCAAAAUCUGUUAAGAAGUGUGUAACAAGUCACCUACCAAAUCAAAUAGCCCCAAAAAUAGAUGGUGCUUAAGCGUGCGACCUACACCCAUCUAUCGGGAUAAGUGCCAGGCCCCAAUAAGUAGGAGAGCGCACCUUUCACUGCAAAACCUUGGGCGCGACCCCAGGAGGACGAUCGUCGGUACAGAUCUUGGUGGUAGUAGAAAAUAUUCAAAUAAGAACUUUGAAGGAUGAAGAGGGGAAAGUUUCACAUGGGUUAGUCGAUCUUAAGGUUUGGGAGAACCCUGAAAGAUAGCUCUUUUUGCACGUACUCUAAAAAGGAAUCGAGUUAAAAUUCUUAAACUGAGACAUGACGGUCUAUGGAAAUGUUUGGAAAUUUGAAUACAUCAGUGGAAGAAUCAGAAAGAAUUAUCUAUUUUGUUUAACAGCCUGCCCAACCUAGAGUCGGCUCAGCCGGAGGUAGGGUCCAGCCGUUGGAAGAGCACUACACGUCACGUAAUGUCAGAUAUGCUCCCGAAUAUCCUUGAAAAUAUGAAGGACCAAAUGCCCUCCAUGCUUGGUCAUACUCAUAACCUCAUCAGGUCUAUAAGGUGAACAACCUCUAGUCGAUGGAAUAAUGUAGGAAAAAUAAGUCGGUAAAAUGGAUCCAUAACUUCGAGAAAAGGAUUGGCUUUGAAGGAUGGGCACAAGGAUCCCAGUCCCGAAUCCGUAGGCUGUCGGUGAACUGCUUAAGCUACUUCUAUGAUGAGAGUAGGUCUUCACUUGCCGGUUGGGGGACGGACAAGGAAUGGUUCCUUCGGGGGUCUUCCCCGCACGUUGAACAGCCAACUUAGAACUGGUACAAAGGAGAUUCUUACUGUUUAAUUAAAACAAAGCAUUACGAUGGUCCCAAUGGAUAUUCACCCAAUGUAAUUUUUGCCCACUACUUUAAAUGUCAAAGUGAAGAAAUUCAACCAAGCGCGAGUAAACGAUGGGAGUAACUAUGACUAUCUUAAGGUAUCUAAAUGCCUUAUCGUCUAAUUAGUGAUGUGUAUGAAUGGAUUAACGAGAUUUCCACUAUUCUUGUCAAAGAUCCAAAAAAACCAAAUCCAAGGGAACGGGCUUGGUAGAAUCAUUGGGGAAAGUAGACCCUGUUAAGCUUAACUCUAGUCCAACUUUUUGAAAUGACUUGAGAGGUGUAGUAUAAGUGGGAGUAGAAUGGAAAAAGUGAAAUACCACUACUUUUAAUGUUAUUUUACUUAUUCCGUGAAUCGGACGCGGGGCACUACCUCUCUUUUUGGACCCAAGGCUCGCUCUGUGGGCUAAUCUAGGUGGAAGACAUUGUCAGGUGGGGAGUGAUACACCCAAAUUACAACUCUCAGUAGAAAGUGUAAGUGGUCGCUAUCAAAUAUAGAACC
This 3007-nucleotide ribosomal RNA is filed under the name Capsicum annuum. RNAcentral's name for it is "eukaryotic LSU rRNA". The stretch from base 366 to 3007 matches the Rfam family "Eukaryotic large subunit ribosomal RNA", at positions 1 to 2774 of the family's 3401-position model. The record is from RNAcentral. Lineage: Eukaryota; Viridiplantae; Streptophyta; Magnoliopsida; Solanales; Solanaceae.